UCUUGUGCCAUGCAUUCUUCUGCGUCCAUCCCUGCAGUACAUGCGCUCAUCCCGUUCGUGGUGAACGACGCGGUACCACUGAGAUUAACUUGGAUACCUCCACUAACACACGGCUCCCACACAAACUCAGAAAGCUCGUGUAUGACCAAGCUAAGAAAUAGACAAACAGACACACAAUUUUAUUCUAACAGAGAUCCUUCGUCUCCGUGCCCGUUCUUGGCGUGAUCCUUGUU
This 233-nucleotide long non-coding RNA is filed under the name Oryza brachyantha (malo sina). RNAcentral describes it as "long non-coding RNA (OBRA_LNC002661)". Lineage: Eukaryota; Viridiplantae; Streptophyta; Magnoliopsida; Poales; Poaceae. The record is from RNAcentral.